GCUACGCCUGUCUGAGGGUCG
This 21-nucleotide ribosomal RNA is filed under the name Pseudecheneis sulcata (sucker throat catfish). Its description in RNAcentral is "partial 5.8S ribosomal RNA". Lineage: Eukaryota; Metazoa; Chordata; Actinopteri; Siluriformes; Sisoridae. The record is from RNAcentral.